GGGCGAUUAGCUCAGUUGGUUUAGAGCACUUGGUUUACACCCAAGGGGUCGGGGGUUCGACUCCCUCAUCGCCCACCA
This 78-nucleotide transfer RNA is filed under the name Carboxylicivirga mesophila. RNAcentral's name for it is "tRNA-Val". It matches the Rfam family "tRNA". From Rfam's summary of the family: Transfer RNA (tRNA) molecules are approximately 80 nucleotides in length. Their secondary structure includes four short double-helical elements and three loops (D, anti-codon, and T loops). Further hydrogen bonds mediate the characteristic L-shaped molecular structure. tRNAs have two regions of fundamental functional importance: the anti-codon, which is responsible for specific mRNA codon recognition, and the 3' end, to which the tRNAs corresponding amino acid is attached (by aminoacyl-tRNA synthetases). tRNAs cope with the degeneracy of the genetic code in two manners: having more than one tRNA (with a specific anti-codon) for a particular amino acid; and 'wobble' base-pairing, i.e. permitting non-standard base-pairing at the 3rd anti-codon position. RNAcentral also lists the same sequence under 5 other names. The record is from RNAcentral. Lineage: Bacteria; Pseudomonadati; Bacteroidota; Bacteroidia; Marinilabiliales; Marinilabiliaceae.